UACGUAGGUCCCGAGCGUUGUCCGGAUUUAUUGGGCGUAAAGCGAGCGCAGGUGGUUUAUUAAGUCUGGUGUAAAAGGCAGUGGCUCAACCAUUGUAUGCAUUGGAAACUGGUAGACUUGAGUGCAGGAGAGGAGAGUGGAAUUCCAUGUGUAGCGGUGAAAUGCGUAGAUAUAUGGAGGAAUACCGGUGGCGAAAGCGGCUCUCUGGCCUGUAACUGACACUGAGGCUCGAAAGCGUGGGGAGCAAACGGG
Molecule: ribosomal RNA, 252 nt
Filed under: uncultured bacterium
Lineage: Bacteria
Description: partial 16S ribosomal RNA
Rfam family: Bacterial small subunit ribosomal RNA
Source: RNAcentral